CGUUGUCUCCGACAACAGCCAAUGUCCCAGCAAUCUGAGAGGGACGCCUUCGGGUGAUUGCCAGCCAAAAUCGUCACAGCCUGAGAGACGAUGCCUUCGGGCGGUAACCUUGCUUAACCUUUGAAAGCAGGGAUCGCAGCAGUGAUAAAGGUUGAA
RNAcentral lists this small RNA (156 nucleotides) under Phytobacter diazotrophicus. RNAcentral's name for it is "STAXI RNA". It matches the Rfam family "STAXI RNA". The record is from RNAcentral. Lineage: Bacteria; Pseudomonadati; Pseudomonadota; Gammaproteobacteria; Enterobacterales; Enterobacteriaceae.